RNAcentral lists this ribosomal RNA (375 nucleotides) under uncultured organism. RNAcentral describes it as "partial 16S ribosomal RNA". It matches the Rfam family "Bacterial small subunit ribosomal RNA", at positions 527 to 896 of the family's 1533-position model. The record is from RNAcentral.
GUAGGUGGCAAGCGUUGUCCGGGAAUUAUUGGGGCGUAAAGCGCGCGCAGGCGGUUCUUUAAGUCUGAUGUGAAAGCCCACGGGCUCAACCGUGGAGGGUCAUUGGAAACUGGAGAACUUGAGUACAGAAGAGGAAAGCGGAAUUCCACGUGUAGCGGUGAAAUGCGUAGAGAUGUGGAGGAACACCAGUGGCGAAGGCGGCUUUCUGGUCUGUAACUGACGCUGAGGCGCGAAAGCGUGGGGAGCAAACAGGAUUAGAUACCCUGGUAGUCCACGCCGUAAACGAUGAGUGCUAAGUGCUGGGGGGUUUCCGCCCCUUAGUGCUGCAGCUAACGCAUUAAGCACUCCGCCUGGGGAGUACGGCCGCAAAGGCUG